Molecule: ribosomal RNA, 1343 nt
Filed under: uncultured bacterium
Lineage: Bacteria
Description: 16S ribosomal RNA
Rfam family: Bacterial small subunit ribosomal RNA
Source: RNAcentral
GACGAACGCUGGCGGCGUGCUUAACACAUGCAAGUCGAACGGAAAGGCCCUGCUUUUGUGGGGUGCUCGAGUGGCGAACGGGUGAGUAACACGUGAGUAACCUGCCCUUGACUUUGGGAUAACUUCAGGAAACUGGGGCUAAUACCGGAUAGGAGCUCCUGCUGCAUGGUGGGGGUUGGAAAGUUUCGGCGGUUGGGGAUGGACUCGCGGCUUAUCAGCUUGUUGGUGGGGUAGUGGCUUACCAAGGCUUUGACGGGUAGCCGGCCUGAGAGGGUGACCGGCCACAUUGGGACUGAGGUACGGCCCAGACUCCUACGGGAGGCAGCAGUGGGGAAUAUUGCACAAUGGGCGGAAGCCUGAUGCAGCAACGCCGCGUGCGGGAUGACGGCCUUCGGGUUGUAAACCGCUUUCGCCUGUGACGAAGCGUGAGUGACGGUAAUGGGUAAAGAAGCACCGGCUAACUACGUGCCAGCAGCCGCGGUGAUACGUAGGGUGCGAGCGUUGUCCGGAUUUAUUGGGCGUAAAGGGCUCGUAGGUGGUUGAUCGCGUCGGAAGUGUAAUCUUGGGGCUUAACCCUGAGCGUGCUUUCGAUACGGGUUGACUUGAGGAAGGUAGGGGAGAAUGGAAUUCCUGGUGGAGCGGUGGAAUGCGCAGAUAUCAGGAGGAACACCAGUGGCGAAGGCGGUUCUCUGGGCCUUUCCUGACGCUGAGGAGCGAAAGCGUGGGGAGCGAACAGGCUUAGAUACCCUGGUAGUCCACGCUGUAAACGGUGGGUACUAGGUGUGGGGUCCAUUCCACGGGUUCCGUGCCGUAGCUAACGCUUUAAGUACCCCGCCUGGGGAGUACGGCCGCAAGGCUAAAACUCAAAGGAAUUGACGGGGCCCCGCACAAGCGGCGGAGCAUGCGGAUUAAUUCGAUGCAACGCGUAGAACCUUACCUGGGUUUGACAUGGAUCGGGAGUGCUCAGAGAUGGGUGUGCCUCUUUUGGGGUCGGUUCACAGGUGGUGCAUGGCUGUCGUCAGCUCGUGUCGUGAGAUGUUGGGUUAAGUCCCGCAACGAGCGCAACCCUUGUUCACUGUUGCCAGCACGUUAUGGUGGGGACUCAGUGGAGACCGCCGGGGUCAACUCGGAGGAAGGUGGGGAUGACGUCAAGUCAUCAUGCCCCUUAUGUCCAGGGCUUCACGCAUGCUACAAUGGCUGGUACAGAGAGUGGCGAGUCUGUGAGGGUGAGCGAAUCUCGGAAAGCCGGUCUCAGUUCGGAUUGGGGUCUGCAACUCGACCUCAUGAAGUCGGAGUCGCUAGUAAUCGCAGAUCAGCAACGCUGCGGUGAAUACGUUCCCGGG